RNAcentral lists this small nuclear RNA (143 nucleotides) under Rhodnius prolixus. Its description in RNAcentral is "U4 spliceosomal RNA". It matches the Rfam family "U4 spliceosomal RNA". From Rfam's summary of the family: U4 small nuclear RNA (U4 snRNA) is a component of the major U2-dependent spliceosome. The structure of U4 snRNA from yeast and human has been reported. U4 snRNA presents a k-turn RNA motif in the 5p-SL related to recognition of Snu13 protein. The record is from Rfam by way of RNAcentral. Lineage: Eukaryota; Metazoa; Arthropoda; Insecta; Hemiptera; Reduviidae.
CUCCUAAACAGUGGUAAUAACGCAAGCAAAGAAGGUCUUCUAAGAUGCGAGUAUUGCUAGUUGAAAACUUUCUCCAAAUUUCCAAACGUAAAUUUCAGUAAAAGAAGGACUGGUUUCGUGUGAAUGUUCGUAUUAAAAUUUUU